RNA transcript from Pteropus alecto (black flying fox), 6537 nucleotides. It is a transcript of the gene named forkhead box K1, with no coding region annotated. NCBI's taxonomy places the organism in Eukaryota, Metazoa, Chordata, Mammalia, Chiroptera, Pteropodidae. The transcript has 10 exons. The record is from RefSeq and is a predicted model, not a curated record.
UGACGUGGGGGAAAUAGGAAAAUCUCCGUGGUCCUUCGUAGCCCUGGGUCCACUGUGUGGCGGUCAUUGCGGACAGCGUGGGAGCCCCGCCCUUCAGUGUAAUGCUGUGGUUUGCAGCAGGGGACCCCAAUCCCCAGGCCGCGGACCAGUACCGGUUCCGUGGCCUGUUAGGAACCGGGUCUCACAGCAGGAAGUGAGUGGCGGGUGAGCCAGCGAAGCUCCCUCUGUACCUGCAGCCGCUCCCAGCGCCGGCAUCACCGCCUCGGCUCCGCCUCAGAUCAUCAAGCGUUAGAGUCUCAUAGGAGCACCGGGCCCUGGUGCCAACAAGGUCGGGGACCGCUGGUUUACAGCUUUGCGGGUUAUAAAAUCCUUUAUGAGCAAAUGAGAGUGUGCUGCGUGUGUCUGGCUGUCCCCGUCCGCCUGGACACCUGUUCAUAUGGGAUGGCGCUUGUCAGUGUGGUCGGUCGUUACGUGAUGUGACUGUCCCUGGGACCUGCCCCAGGAAGCUGUCAAUCCCCCGAGAGCAGGGCCGAGUUCUUUCACAGCGCCGCGUUCCUGGUCCCAGCACAGUGCUGGGCGCUGAGAAGUCACUCAGCGUCUGCUGCGUGACUGUUUACACACAGAACCUGCAGGCCGCUGGCUGGCCUGACACCGCAGCACCAACACCUCGCUCAGAAAGCCCGGAACAGGUGUUGCCCAUCCGUGGUCAGACAAGGCCUCUUUCAUGUGGCGAGUCGGGGCCCAGGGCUAGCACCUGGGCUGGUGACACCCCCACACCCUCCCACACCCCCACCCGCGUGAGCUCGCUCUCCAGGCUGCAGUGGUGUCUGCACCGGGCCUGCGGGAGGGUCAGUGGGGGCGUGUUAGUGGGCAGGCCCGGAAGUGGCAGGUCUCACUCCGCUCACAUGCUGGUGACUGGAGCUCGGUCCACGGCCACUCCAAGGGAGGACCAGGCCACGUGCCCCGGAAGGAGGAGAAGUGCUUUGGUGAACAGCUAGCUGAUCUCUGCCACAUUUAGGGCCAGUCAGCAAACUGUAGCCUGUGGGCCAAAUCCCGCCAGACUUUAGUUUUUAUAUAAAGUUUUAUUGGCACACAGCCACGUUUACAUGCUGUCUGGGUGCCUAGUUGCGACAGAGAGCAUGUGGCCCCCAAACCUAAAACAUUUACAGGAACAGCGUGUACACCGCUGAUCUAGACCAUCCACCUUCUUCCCCAUCCGUGCAUUUUACCGAGACGAAUCAGCACCUUCUCGUUCCUGGUCCUCUCUGUGCAGAGCCCCUGUAUUUCUCAGCGUGUUCUGUUCGAUCUUGGGUGUUUCAUGUAUUUGUUUUGGGGAUGGUUAAUAUGAGUGAGAUCUUCGUUUCUUAUCAUUUUGUAUUCUAAAAGGUCAGCACUUACACGGAGGAAAGGUGGUUCUGUCUGUGCGUGUUUGUUCUUUUUUUGGUACGAGCUUCAUACUACUAAUUGGUUUUUUUAAUGUUACAUUUUGAAAAAAUUUCCAGCUUCCAAGAAAGUUACAGGACUAGCACAAAUAAUUCCUAUACGUCUUCUGCCCAGAUUCAUCCGUUUUUGACAUUCUGCCACGUUCGCUCUAGUAUUUCCUGUCUCUCUUCCUCUCUCUCUACAUAUAUAUAAACGUUAUUUGAGAAGGAUUUAUGUAGAUCUGAUCCUUUUUCCUUAAUGCCACAAUAUGUAUUUCCUAAGAAAAAUGGUAUUUUUCCAUAAGCAGAGCCUUUUUAAAAAAUUUUUUAUAAGAUUUUCUUUGAGCCAAACUGAUGACCUUGCCAGGAAGCCAGAUCACAGAUGCUGUCGAUAGCCUCAGCCUCGCUAUUAAAUCGAAGGAGUCCAGCAUCACUGCGAUGCGCUGGCCUAGCCCGGAGCCCGAUUUGUCAGUCGUCCCGAUCCAUCUUUGCAGAAUCCCAGCCCCGGCCGAGUCCUGUCCAGGUGGACGGAGCCUUGCGUCCCGCCGGCCUGGCAUCUUUGUCGCCUGACCCUGGAGCAGACCCUCAGCCUUUCUCUGUCUUGAUUGACCUUGGCAUUUUUAAAAGAAAACAAUACAGUUAUUUUAUCAAUGUCUCUCAAUUUGGGUGGUGUCCUUGAUGCAGAUAGUGUGGGUCACUUGUUCUGGGCGGGCGUCUGGGCCUCUCCACCGAGUCGUUACUGUUUUUCCUCUGUAACUAACAAGCAAUUUUUGAAAUUCAGUACUGGAAUAAAAUGUUAACUGUGUAUCCAGUCACAUUGACUGCUUCUAGUAACAGUUUUUCAUUCACUUUUCACGUGUGUUUUCUAGGUCAUCAUCUUCAUCUGCGUGACGGUUACUUUGUCUCUUUUUUGUUGUUGUCUCGUGGAAUUGCCUAGAACCUCCAAGUAACACUGAAUAAAUACCAUGAUGGGGGCUUCUUUCUUCCCUCUGGCCCUGCCAGGAAUGCUCACGAGGCAUUUCAGAGCAAAUACAGCUCGCCGCGUAAAAGCCACUCUCUUAAGGGAACCUUCCAGAUGCCUCUCCGGGGCGAGGUCCCGUGGGCAGCACCCCGGCGCCCAGGGCUCCACGUCCUGCCGUCUCGGUGUUCCUUAGUGGUUGGUAGUUUGCUUAUCUGAUGCACCGAGUAUCGUGGGGGCAGGACUGUGCUUUGCUGGUUGUCUUCCUGGAACCACAGUACCUGCCAGCACGCUUGGCACACAGCACUAGGGCACUUCGUGCAUUGUUGGCAAAACGCAUCAAGAAACAAAUAGGACAGAUCUGAAUGCAAAACCAGUGUGGCCAAAGAAAGUGAUAGCAGGCCAUCAUAGUGGUUCAGCUUUUGAAAGGUCUGGCUGCAUCACCCCGCGGCUGGAUGCCCUUGGACAAGUUGACAGAACCUCAGGCUCCUGUCUGUAGACAGAGCCGCUCCUGGGUAAUCGUGAGACAUUAACACACUCACGGCAGUGUGUUACAGUACCCACCUCUGUGCUGGCAUGGAGGCACGCCCGCCGUCUGCCGCGUCAUCGCUGUCGCCGCGUCGGAGAGGGACUGUGUUCACCCCACAGAGCAUCUGGUGUCUGAAGCGAGAUCUGACCCAUUGGUACAGAAGCUGUGGCGGGACCUCGAGCCCAUCACAGUGGAGCGGCGUGGACAGGCCCUCUGCCUUGCAGCGAGGUGCGACCCCUGACCGGGUGUCACAGAGCAGCAUGUUCUUGCAUCGCCAGGAUCCCUCCCGGCUCCUACAGGUGUAUGAUCGGAGUGAAACAUUAAGGUGCACGUUCCGAUUCCCCAGCACGGCCAUCAAGAUCCAGUUCACGGCGCUGUUCCACCAGGAGGAGGCCCCGGCGUCGCCCCUCCGGCCGCUCUACCCGCAGAUCUCCCCGCUGAGGAUCCACAUCCCCGAGCCCGACCUCCGGAGCCUGGUCAGCCCCGUCCCCUCCCCGACCGGCACCAUCAGUGUUCCCAACUCCUGCCCGGCCAGUCCACGCGGAGCUGGGUCCUCUGGCUACCGCUUUGUCCAGAACGUGACCUCGGACCUACAGCUGGCAGCGGAGUUCGCAGCGAAGGCUGCCUCGGAGCAGCAGGCGGACACGUCCGGAGGGGACAGCCCCAAGGACGAGUCGAAGCCGCCGUACUCCUAUGCCCAGCUGAUCGUGCAGGCCAUCUCCUCCGCCCAGGACAGGCAGCUGACACUAAGCGGCAUCUACGCCCACAUCACCAAGCAUUAUCCUUACUACAGGACGGCCGACAAGGGCUGGCAGGUGAGGUCGGCCGACAAGGGCUGGCAGAAUUCCAUCCGACACAACCUCUCCUUGAAUCGUUACUUUAUUAAAGUCCCUCGGUCCCAAGAGGAGCCCGGGAAGGGGUCCUUUUGGCGAAUAGACCCCGCCUCAGAAGCCAAGCUCGUGGAACAGGCCUUCCGGAAGCGGAGGCAGAGGGGCGUCUCCUGCUUCCGCACCCCUUUCGGGCCUCUGUCGUCCAGGAGUGCUCCGGCUUCACCCACUCACCCUGGGCUGAUGUCCCCUCGGUCUAGUGGCCUGCAGACUCCAGAGUGCCUGUCUCGGGAGGGCUCCCCCAUCCCACACGACCCCGACUUUGGGUCGAAGCUGGCGUCUGUCCCCGAGUACCGGUAUUCCCAGAGCGCGCCCGGCUCCCCCGUCAGCGCCCAGCCCGUGGUCAUGGCCGUGCCUCCCCGACCUCCUAGUCUAGUGGCCAAGCCCGUGGCCUACAUGCCAGCCUCCAUAGUGACGGCACAGCAGCCCUCCGGCCACGCAAUCCACGUCGUGCAGCAGGCCCCCCCGGUCACCAUGCUCAGGGUGGUCACCUCCUCCGCCAGCUCCGCCAACGGGUACAUCCUCGCCAGCCAGGCCUCGGCAGGGGGCGCCCACGAAGCGGCAGGCACAGCCGUGUUGGACCUCGGCAGCGAGGCAAGAGGCUUGGAGGAGAAGCCCACCAUCGCCUUCGCCACCAUCCCCACUGCCAGCAGGGUCAUCCAGACGGUGGCCAGCCAGAUGGCCCCCGGGGUCCCUGGACACACGGUCACCAUCCUGCAGCCGGCCACGCCAGUCACCAUCGGGCAGCACCAUCUCCCAGUCCGGGCCGUCACUCAGAACGGAAAGCACUCUGUCCCCACGAACAGUUUAGCCAGCAGCGCUUACGCCCUCACGAGCCCCCUGCAGCUCCUCGCGGCCCAGGCCAGCUCGUCAACACCGGUGGUGGUCACUCGCGUGUGUGAGGUGGGGCCCGAGGAACCAGCAGCCGCCGGAGCAGCAGGAGCCGGCACCGCCACCCCCGUCAGCACCGCCACCCCGGCCAGCACCGCCACCCCCGUCAGCACCGCCCCUUCCACUGGAGAACCCGAGGUCAAAAGGUCCCGGUUGGAGGAGCCCAGUGGGACUGUGCCCAGCGUGAUCACGGCAGCCGGCCCACAGGGGCCGGGGACCGGGGAGUGACGUCGCCCGCGUGGAGGUGGAGUGGGACACACGCCAAAAGGAUUCUGGAGCUGACAGCGCUGCUGCCCAGGCCGUGAUGCGGAAGCUCCACGCUGACCGAAGCACGGCGCCAAACGGGCAGGGCGGCCUCCGUCCACCCGCACCCGGACACACUUGUCCCCCUUGUCAUCUGUGUCCUGCCCCUGCUAUAGUCUAAAACAAAAACACAUAAACGAGUUCAGACAGCUGAUUGUAUGAUUCUGGGGAUUCCUUUGUUUUCAUUUCCUUCUUCCUUGGCACUAUCUUCUCUCCCUGGCCCUUUGGCACAGGCGUCGGGGGAAGGCUGGCUCAGCGUCUCAAGGAACGGCUCCCGGCCACGAGCAGAAGCAAGGCUCCCAGAGCAGCCUUCGCCCCCGGAGGACUGGACAGCAAUGCCGCCUGGCAGACAGGCCUUCUGGGGAAGGGCACGGAUCAGCCCGUUUGUAGUCGGCUGGAAACGGGCCAGAGAAAGGCAAGAACUGUCAGGUUUCAGACUGUCCCGUGACAUCUCCUCCCCAAAACAGUGACACGGAAAGUACCAGGUUGGCAUUAAUCGGUGGGGAGAGGUCUGGCUUGGCUUCGGACCCCAGAUACUUGUUUCGUUGAAACGUGGAAUGCGGCUUCAUCGUAGGUCUGAGGCAGACACAGCAGGGAGUGUCUGUUUCGAGCUUUUCAUCUGCAAAGACAGACGGGGCCGUUGGCCACAGCACGUUGUCAGGUGUUUGCCUGACCCAGUUGGUCUGGCUUUGACCUUUUCUCUUCCUGACGUUUGAGGUGUUUUGGUGUUCUGUCCAUUUUCAGUGCCGAUGCCGCCACAUGGGAAGAGGUCCGAGGGGAAGGGCGUGGGGGCGGGGACAGAAUGUCAGUCAGUGACAUCCUGCCACGUGGGGAGCUUGUGUCUUUUCAGCUCCUGCGGACUGAGGAUAGGGGAGGAGGGCUCAGUGUGGACAGCUCAGACUGCAGGCGGGGCAGAGAGAGGCAGGUGGGUCCCCAGACACUGCAUUCCUGGACAGGUUUUGGUCAUCCGACCGGACAGCCUGCUGGCAUGGCCAGCACUGUCCUCGGUCCAGCAGCCAGAGGUCCAGGAUGGCGGUGCCCCAAGGAGGUGCACACCUGGUUGCCUCAGCUGACCAAGCGAUGGUGUCCCCCGAAACUCGUCGAUGGGAGGAGGAGUGCCAGGCCACAAGUGACUGGCGGGCCCUGGCCCUCAGAGUCUGGUGGCCUGUGACCUACCACGGGGCGGGCUGCCCCCAGCCAGGGUCGGGGAGAGCGAGAGCCAGUCCAUCAUGUCGCUGUGGCCUCGGGGGUCUGAGGACCUGCUCCUCGUCCCAUGAAGAGGGGAGUGGCUUCGCGGCCACAGCUGCCGACGCCAAACGCAGAGCGCUCGCUGUGCGUGGGAAGGUGGUCGCAGAGGUAGCUGUCGGGGAGCAGCCAAGCGUCUCCCACCGAGACCGUGGACGCCUGUCCCCGAGGCCCCGCCGCCGGGACGGUGCCAGCAUCGCCCGUCACGCAGGGGCCGGGGCUCCGGACCCUGCUGUCGCUCGUGCAGCCCCCGCUCACCGAGCUCUCCCGGGCAGCGCCUUCGAGGGGCUGCCCAGACCCCCC